Molecule: unclassified non-coding RNA, 358 nt
Filed under: soil metagenome
Description: partial contains 5.8S ribosomal RNA, internal transcribed spacer 2, and large subunit ribosomal RNA
Rfam family: 5.8S ribosomal RNA (bases 1-120)
Source: RNAcentral
GAUGAAGAACGUAGCGAAAUGCGAUAAGUAAUGUGAAUUGCAGAAUUCAGUGAAUCAUCGAAUCUUUGAACGCACAUUGCGCCCGUCAGUAUUCUGGCGGGCAUGCCUGUUCGAGCGUCAUUACGCCCCUCAAGUCCCCUGUGGACUUGGUGUUGGGGAUCGGCGGGGCUGGUUUUCCAGCACAGCCGUCCCUUAAAUUAAUUGGCGGUCUCGCCGUGGCCCUCCUCUGCGCAGUAGUAAAACACUCGCAACAGGAGCCCGGCGCGGUCCACUGCCGUAAAACCCCCCAACUUUUUAUAGUUGACCUCGAAUCAGGUAGGACUACCCGCUGAACUUAAGCAUAUCAAUAAGCGGAGGA